This 497-nucleotide ribosomal RNA is filed under the name uncultured bacterium. Its description in RNAcentral is "partial 16S ribosomal RNA". It matches the Rfam family "Bacterial small subunit ribosomal RNA", at positions 28 to 507 of the family's 1533-position model. The record is from RNAcentral.
GAUGAACGCUGGCGGCGUGCCUAAUACAUGCAAGUCGAGCGAACGGACGCGAAGCUUGCUUCUCUGAUGUUAGCGGCGGACGGGUGAGUCACACGUAGCUUACCUACCUAUCAGACUGGGAUAACUUCGGGAAACCGGAGCACAUACUGGAUCAUCUCUUGACCCGCAUGGUUCAAAAGUGAAAGACUGUCUUGCUGUCACUUAUAGAUGGAUCCGCGCUGCAUUAGCUAGUUGGUAAGGUAACGGCUUAACAAGGCACCGAGGCAUAGCCGACGUGAGAGAGGGAUAGGCGACACGGGAACGGGAACAGGGACAAGAGUACUACGGGAGGCAGCAGAAGGGUAUGGUAGGCAGUGGGCGAGAGCCUGACGGAGCAAGGCCGAGUGAGUUAUGAAGGUCCUGGGAGCGUAAAGCUCGGUUAUGAGGGAAGAACAUAUGUGUAAGUAAAAGUGCAGAGCUUGACGGUACCUAAUGAGAAAGCCACGGCUAACUACGUG